This is a transfer RNA of Hanseniaspora osmophila, 73 nucleotides long. It matches the Rfam family "tRNA". Rfam says of the family: Transfer RNA (tRNA) molecules are approximately 80 nucleotides in length. Their secondary structure includes four short double-helical elements and three loops (D, anti-codon, and T loops). Further hydrogen bonds mediate the characteristic L-shaped molecular structure. tRNAs have two regions of fundamental functional importance: the anti-codon, which is responsible for specific mRNA codon recognition, and the 3' end, to which the tRNAs corresponding amino acid is attached (by aminoacyl-tRNA synthetases). tRNAs cope with the degeneracy of the genetic code in two manners: having more than one tRNA (with a specific anti-codon) for a particular amino acid; and 'wobble' base-pairing, i.e. permitting non-standard base-pairing at the 3rd anti-codon position. The record is from Rfam. Lineage: Eukaryota; Fungi; Ascomycota; Saccharomycetes; Saccharomycodales; Saccharomycodaceae.
GUAUUAUUAGCUUAAUUGGUAGAGCAUUCGUUUUGUAAUCGAAAGGUUAUGGGUUCGAUUCCUAUAUAGUACA